AGUGAACGCUGGCGGUAGGCCUAACACAUGCAAGUCGAACGGCAGCACAGUAAGAGCUUGCUCUUACGGGUGGCGAGUGGCGGACGGGUGAGGAAUACAUCGGAAUCUACUUUUUCGUGGGGGAUAACGUAGGGAAACUUACGCUAAUACCGCAUACGACCUACGGGUGAAAGCAGGGGAUCUUCGGACCUUGCGCGAUUGAAUGCGCCGAUGUCGGAUUAGCUAGUUGGCGGGGUAAAGGCCCACCAAGGCGACGAUCCGUAGCUGGUCUGAGAGGAUGAUCAGUCACACUGGAACUGAGACACGGUCCAGACUCCUACGGGAGGCAGCAGUGGGGAAUAUUGGACAAUGGGCGCAAGCCUGAUCCAGCCAUACCGCGUGGGUGAAGAAGGCCUUCGGGUUGUAAAGCCCUUUUGUUGGGAAAGAAAAGCAGCAGGUUAAUACCCCGCUGUUCUGACGGUACCCAAAGAAUAAGCACCGGCUAACUUCGUG
RNAcentral lists this ribosomal RNA (492 nucleotides) under uncultured bacterium. RNAcentral describes it as "partial 16S ribosomal RNA". It matches the Rfam family "Bacterial small subunit ribosomal RNA", at positions 29 to 507 of the family's 1533-position model. The record is from RNAcentral.